This 465-nucleotide ribosomal RNA is filed under the name uncultured bacterium. Its description in RNAcentral is "partial 16S ribosomal RNA". It matches the Rfam family "Bacterial small subunit ribosomal RNA", at positions 338 to 795 of the family's 1533-position model. The record is from RNAcentral.
CCUACGUGGUGCAGCAGUGGGGAAUAUUGCGCAAUGGGCGAAAGCCUGACGCAGCGACGCCGCGUGAGGGAUGAAGGUCUUCGGAUCGUAAACCUCUGUCAGCAGGGAAGAACGGUCACUGUGCUAAUCAGCAGUGAAUUGACGGUACCUGCAACGGAAGCACCGGCUAACUCCGUGCCAGCAGCCGCGGUAAUACCGAGGGUGCGAGCGUUAAUCGGAAUUACUGGGCGUAAAGCGCUCGUAGGCGGUAUGUCAAGUCAAGGGUGAAAUCCCCGCGCUCAACGUGGGAACUGCCUUUGAAGCUGGCAAACUGGAGUGUGUGAGAGGAUAGUGGAAUUCCAGGUGUAGGAGUGAAAUCCGUAGAUAUCUGGAGGAACAUCAGUGGCGAAGGCGACUAUCUGGCACAUAACUGACGCUGAGGAGCGAAAGCGUGGGUAGCAAACAGGAUUAGAUACUCCAGUAGUC